This is a long non-coding RNA of Erigeron canadensis, 314 nucleotides long. RefSeq lists it as uncharacterized. The record is from RefSeq and is a predicted model, not a curated record. Lineage: Eukaryota; Viridiplantae; Streptophyta; Magnoliopsida; Asterales; Asteraceae. The transcript is spliced from 3 exons.
AGAAAAACAAAAGGGAAGUUAACAGAAGUAUCUGGGAGCUCCUUCUACAAACACGACAUAUACUUAGUGUGUGAAAACAUGGUGUCGUGAGUAUGUGUCCCUCUCGUGAAGAUAUCUAGCUCAAGAUUAAAGAGAAACUUGAUUUUAGCUAACUAGAAAGUAAAGUAGAGUGCUUUUGAUCUUUAAUCAGGAGUAAAUCAAGGUGAUACAAGAGAUCAACCAAGUUUUACUUAAAAGCUAACGGUGAUUAUAAGGUGAGACAAGUGGAGCCCGAAAAGAUCCAGGGAAGGGUAUAGCUUAGCACUAGCGGUGUU